GUAAGCCACUAUCGAUUAAAUGACCAAUCAAAAUAUGCUAAUCUCACUAGAAUCUCUCUUCAGUAUUCAAAUUUGACGCUGUUCAGCCUGUUUCUCGAAAUUCUAGUUCUACUUACCAUAUCGACUUUUCCGGAUGCAGUGAAUCAAGCUGUGGAGCAAUUUCUGUUCGCAAAAUUGCACAGUUUUUGGAACAAUGCUAAAUUUUGGGAAUUUUUACAAAUUCAGUUCGAUUGUUGUGGUGUAUACAGUCCAAUGGACUGGCAGAAGGUGUUCCUACACUCGUUGCUGCCACCAUCCUGUUGUCAAAAUAUUCAUAAUGGAAGCUCAUUGUGCUCUAAAGAUUUAUCUUCACAAUUGGGCUGCAAAAUUGCAUUAUCCUUGUUCGUAAAAUCCAAUUCGAUGGUUUUUUAUUUGGUGGGCACUUUCAUUGCCGGAGUGCAGAUAUUUGGCAUCAUAUUCCCUUGUAUUCCUUUCGAAUAAUUGACGGACCAGAGCCGGAGCUUACAUGACAACCACCAUUGGUGACAAAUGAAUUUUUCCAAAAC
Molecule: long non-coding RNA, 545 nt
Organism: Sitodiplosis mosellana (orange wheat blossom midge)
Lineage: Eukaryota; Metazoa; Arthropoda; Insecta; Diptera; Cecidomyiidae
Exons: 3
Source: RefSeq, a predicted model, not a curated record